AUUAGCCUCGGGGGCAGCAGUGAGGAAUAUUGGUCAAUGGGCGGGAGCCUGAACCAGCCAAGUCGCGUGAGGGAAGACGGUCCUAUGGAUUGUAAACCUCUUUAGGCGGGGAGCAAUGCCGGGCACGCGUGUCCGGAGGGAGAGUACCCGCAGAAUAAGCAUCGGCUAACUCCGUGCCAGCAGCCGCGGUAAUACGGAGGAUGCGAGCGUUAUCCGGAUUUAUUGGGUUUAAAGGGUGCGUAGGCGGAUUUUUAAGUCAGCGGUAAAAUGUCCGGGCUCAACCCGGGCCGGCCGUUGAAACUGGG
This 305-nucleotide ribosomal RNA is filed under the name uncultured bacterium. RNAcentral's name for it is "bacterial SSU rRNA". It matches the Rfam family "Bacterial small subunit ribosomal RNA", at positions 331 to 637 of the family's 1533-position model. The record is from RNAcentral.